UCCCGGGGCAGAGUCCCUCUGUGAAAGCAUCAGUCUCCCCCUUGCUUAGGGUGCAUCCAUGUGUCCUUCUCCCCCUCUAGACAAUGGUCGCCAGGGAGUGGUUCAUGGUGACAUCAAUCAGCCCCGAUGGGGGAAUCUCCUUGUGUAAUAGACACUGCACUGCCCCAGGGAGGGGCUGGUUGGGGGUCUGUGGAAAGUGGGGAGAGUAAGCACUGAGCUGCCUCCAGCUGGGUUAUGGCAGGGCCUGGGGGAUAGAUAAGGAUACCCACUGGCCGAGCAGUGGUGAGGGAGGAUGAGGGGCACAUCACGAAACCCCUGGCUCCCGGGCAGUAUUCAGUAAGUGCUGAUUCCUCCACUGCCAGCUGCACAUGACUGGAGAGCCGAGCCUGGUGGCCCCUCGGGGCAGCCGCGUGUGAGGACAUCCAUACCUCCCCCGGUUUCCAAUCCUGUUUUUUCCACGAUCCUGAUCGUAUCUCCAAUCUGCUGCCCUGGAACCAACGUAGACCUUCAUCUCUGGCCAUCUGUCUGCCCAGGCAGAGGGCACACACACACAGAUGUGCCGCUCCAAGUAAGUUCUGACCGUGGGGAGGCCCUUCCUUCCUUGUG
RNAcentral lists this long non-coding RNA (606 nucleotides) under Felis catus (domestic cat). RNAcentral describes it as "lncRNA (ENSFCAG00000052004.1)". The record is from RNAcentral. Lineage: Eukaryota; Metazoa; Chordata; Mammalia; Carnivora; Felidae.